UACGAAGGUGGCAAGCGUUGUCCGGAUUUACUGGGCGUAAAGAGCGCGCAGGCGGUCGAAUAAGUCGAAUGUGAAAGCCCCCGGCUUAACUGGGGAGGGUCAUUCGAUACUGCUCGACUUGAAGGCAGGAGAGGGUAGUGGAAUUCCCGGUGUAGUGGUGAAAUGCGUAGAUAUCUGGAGGAAUACCGGUGGCGAAGGCGGCAUCCUGGACCGGCAUUGACGCUGAGGAGCGAAAGCCAGGGGAGCAAACGGG
RNAcentral lists this ribosomal RNA (253 nucleotides) under uncultured bacterium. Its description in RNAcentral is "partial 16S ribosomal RNA". It matches the Rfam family "Bacterial small subunit ribosomal RNA", at positions 524 to 776 of the family's 1533-position model. The record is from RNAcentral.